CUGCUGGAGGUGGAUAUGCACUCACGCACAAAACAUGGAUAGAGCGCGCUGUAAAGCGCUUUUACAGCGCCAAGAUUUAGCGCGCCUGUUGGAGAUGCUCUAAUGCUGCUAUCCCUAACCUAAAAAGAAAAGUGACGAGUGCCGCACAUAGAUUCCAGUCCAACCUGCCUCCCUCAAUUCGCGUCGUCUUCUUGACUUCUCCUCGCGUCUCCUCGUUCUACCCCAUUUGGCCAUUCCCCAAUCACAUCUGACGAUGGGCAGCGCUCUCCCGUCAAGAUUUACAUCAAGUUCCUCCUCCAUCUGCAAGGAACCCCCUCAUAUAUAUUCCUUUUAGGGCUUGAUUUCAUAAAGGCAAAAGGUGAAAAAAGAGGAGUAGUAGGCGAUUGGUGGCAGCGGCAGCCGGGAGGGCAGGGGCGGUGUAUGGCGACAAUUUGAUUGUCCGCAGUGGCAUUUGGCAGCCAUGAAUUACCACGACAGUCCAACCAAGGGCAACCUGCAGCAAGCGACAAUGAGCACGGCAGUUUCAUUCAUGCUCCAGGUGCUUUUCUUUCAAUUUAAUUUUAUAUCUAAAUCUUGCAGUGUAGUAUGUGUUUCAACAAGUCUAAGAUGUCAAAGUGCAUUUGUGGUUAUAAGAAGGGACAUAAGAGAGAUGUAUUGAACAAAUGUCUAUUGGAAAUUUAGAUGGGAUUGUGUGUGACGUUUCUAUAGUAAAUUUAGAGAAAAUUGUGUUGUUUAACAUGUCUAUUGAAGAUUUAUAUAGAAUUUUGUUCAAUAUAUAACAUGCUACUGAAAUAUAUAAAAAUCUGGAUAAUGUACAGGGGCCCUAUUUUUCUCUUGCACCGGGCCCCCGACAUCUCAGGGCCGGCCCUGUGUAUGAACUGAGGCUCGUAUGGAAAAAAGAGAAGCUAGGUCAAGCAGCAAGCAUCCACAUUUCAAAAUCUAACCAAUCACAACACCUUUUUGUUUCAAAUUUACUUAACACUAUUUCUAUUUUUUUUUAAGUCCAAAGAAACUAUUGUCACGGAGUUGGUCAUACCUGAAUCAACUCUAUGAUACGAUUUGGUGCAGAGAAAUGAAGAUAGCCCACAAGCAUCUCUAUGCUUGCAGUUUUCACCUCAAGGAACCAGAUGGAAUCAUUCAAUGAAACACCGUUCUCAACAACCAAUAUCUUCUCAUAAUUUACAAGAAUUGCUGAGUGCAACUUGGAUGGAGGCUGAGCCCCAAGUACUGUGGGCACAACCCUUCAAGUUAAUGUUCAGUGAAUUAAAGGCAGUUCUUUGGCCAAUGACGUUUGCUGGCACGCAAGCAUUGCUUCAUAUUACAAGAAAUGAGGGCGGACUAAGCAAACUGCAAGUAUUUUACCCUAUAAACAAUGUUACAUGUGUUCAGUUCCUUCACAUUCAAGCAAGCCUAAACUUAUUUUUACCUAUCCAAUACUUCUCUGUUCUAUAUUGAUUGUUGCUCUUGUACCAAAUCAGAGACGACUAUAUGAAAGAGAGACGUUACUAUAUGUUGUGA
This is a long non-coding RNA of Lolium perenne, 1518 nucleotides long. RefSeq lists it as uncharacterized. NCBI's taxonomy places the organism in Eukaryota, Viridiplantae, Streptophyta, Magnoliopsida, Poales, Poaceae. The record is from RefSeq and is a predicted model, not a curated record.